UCAACGACGAGCGCCUGCACCCCAACGCCUCCGAGUGGAAGCGGAACCUGCUGCGGAUCCAGCGCCUGGUGCUGAUCGGGGGCCCCGACGACGGCGUCAUCACCCCCUGGCAGUCCAGGUGAGAGCCAAAACACCCCGAAAACACCCCAAAAACAGCACAAAACCACCCCAAAAACACCCUGAAAACAGCCCCAAAACAGCACAAAAACAGCCCAAAAAAUACCCCCAAAACACCCCAAAAACACCCCAAAAACAGCACAAAAACACCCUGAAAAGAGCCCCAAAACAGCACAAAAACAGCCCAAAAACAACCCCAAAACAACACAAAAACACCCCAAAAACAGCCCAAAAACAGCCUCCCAAAAAAACCCCAAAACAGCCCAAAAACACCCCAAAACCACCCCAGAAACAACCCAGAAACAGCCCCAAAAAAACCCAAAACAGCCCAAAAAACAACCCCAAAAACAGCCCAAAAUUACCCCAAAACACCCCAAAAUUAAUUCAAAAUUACCCCCAAAAAUCCCCAAAAUUCCCACAAAAAAAAUCUCCAAAAUUCUCCCCCAAAAUCCCCCCAAAUUCCCCGAAAAAACCCCAAAAAUCCUCCCAAAAAAAUCCCAAAAUCCUUUCCCAAAAUCCCCCUAAAAAAAAUCCAAAAAAAUCUUCCCCAAAAUCCCCAAAAUUCCUUAAAAAAUCCCCAAAAUCCUCCCAAAAAAUCCCCAAAAUUCCCAUUAAAAAAUCCCAAAAUUCCUCUAAAAAUUCCCCCUAAACCUUCCCAAAAAUCCUAAAAAUCCCUUAAAAAAUCCCCCCAAAAUCAAAAAAAUCCCAAAAUCCUCCCAAAAAUCCCAAAAAUUCCCAUAAAAAAUCGCCAAAAUUCCCAUUUAAAAAAAUCUUAAAAUUCCCCUAAAAAAAUCUCCAAAAUUCUUCUAAAAAAUCUUUAAAUUCCCAUUAAAAAACCCCAAAAUCCUCAUAGAAAUCCCCAAAAUUCCCUUAAAAAAUCCCCAAAAUUCCCAUAAAAAACCUCAAAAUCCUCCCAAAAACCCCCAAAAUUCCCAUUAAAAAAGUCCCCAAAAUCCUCCCAAAAAAUCCCCAAAAUUCCCCUAAAAAAUCCUAAAAAUCCUCCCAAAAAUCGCAAAAAUUCCCAUUAAAAAAAUCCCCAAAAUUCCCAUUAAAAAAAUCCCCAAAAUUCCCCUAAAAAGUCCUAAAAGUUCUCCCAAAAAUCCCCAAAAUUCCCAUUAAAAAAAUCCCCCAAAUUCUCCCAAAAAUCCCCAAAAUUCCCAUUAAAAAAUCCCCAAAAUUCCCAUUAAAAAAAUCCCCCAAAUUCUCCCAAAAAUCCCCAAAAUUCCCAUUAAAAAAUCCCAAAAAUUCCCAUUAAAAAAAUUCCCAAAAUCCUCCCAAAAAAUCCCAAAAUUCCCAUUAAAAAAUCCCAAAAAUUCCCAUUAAAAAAAUCCCCAAAAUUCCCCUAAAAAAUUCCCCUAAAAAUCCCCGAAUUCCCCCAAUUUUUUGGGGUCUCCCCGAAUUUCGGGGCUCCCCCCCCGUGACCCCAAAUUUGGUUCCCGAAGCCUUUUCGGGUUCUACGACGCCAACGAGACCGUGCGGGACAUGGAGGCGCAGCCGGUGAGGGGCGGGAACUGGGGAGGGGGACCCCAAAACUGGGGAGGGGGACCCCAAAAUUGGGGAGGGGGACCCCAAAACUGGGGAGGGGGACCCCAAAAUUGGGGAGGGGGAGCCC
RNAcentral lists this long non-coding RNA (1729 nucleotides) under Cyanistes caeruleus (blue tit). Its description in RNAcentral is "lncRNA (ENSCCEG00000005770.1)". The record is from RNAcentral. Lineage: Eukaryota; Metazoa; Chordata; Aves; Passeriformes; Paridae.